Molecule: ribosomal RNA, 643 nt
Filed under: Ostreopsis sp. ORUS
Lineage: Eukaryota; Dinophyceae; Peridiniales; Ostreopsidaceae
Description: eukaryotic LSU rRNA
Rfam family: Eukaryotic large subunit ribosomal RNA
Source: RNAcentral
GCGAAUGAACACAAACCUGAUCAUAAUGACAAUUGCUGCACGCUUUGUGCAGUGAAUUGUUUACUUUUGGUAUAAUGCUAUCAAAGCUGCAUUUAAAUGAUUUUUGAAAGGAUACAACAUGGGAUGCGAUGUUCAUGUAUGUGUGCCUGCUUUGUCCACAGCAUGUGCUGAAUGAAUCACAUUUCUUGCAAACUGAAAUGCAAAUGGCAUGGUAAAGUUCAUGUGACAUGACACAUGCUUGAGAUUCAUGAUGUGCAAGUACCAUGAGGGAAAUGUGAAAAAGGACUGUGGAAAGAGAAUUAAAUAAAGCCUGCGAUUGCUGGACAUGAAAGCAAGUGUAGACAUUCAUUGAAGUGUUACUGCAUCUCUACACCACCUUUAUGGUUACUGUAUGCUUUACAUUACAACACAAAUAAUGAAGUGUGUGUGUGUGUGUGUCUACUUUGCUUCAAUUGUUUCCACCUGGGAUCACUUGAAACAUUGUCUGAGCACUCUUCAGUACCACUAUGUGUACACCAGUAUAUUCCACUCCUUGUUGGCACACAUGUGAUGAUGAUGUGUUUAUGUGCCAUACUUCUGUGCUCACGAAACAUGUUGUGCACAUCUUCACUUGACCCGUCUUGAAACACGGACCAAGGAAUCU